CGGUCCAGACUCCUACCCCCGGCAGCAGUAGGGAAUCUUCCGCAAUGGGCGAAAGCCUGACGGAGCAACGCCGCGUGAGUGAUGAAGGUCUUCGGAUCGUAAAACUCUGUUAUUAGGGAAGAACAAAUGUGUAAGUAACUAUGCACGUCUUGACGGUACCUAAUCAGAAAGCCACGGCUAACUACGUGCCAGCAGCCGCGGUAAUACGUAGGUGGCAAGCGUUAUCCGGAAUUAUUGGGCGUACAGCGCGCGUAGGCGGUAAACGAAGUCUGAUGUGAAAGCCCACGGCUCAACCGUGGAGGGUCAUUGGAAACUGGAAAACUUGAGUGCAGAAGAGGAAAGUGCAUUGUCAUGUGUAGCGGUGAAAUGCGCAGAGAUAUGGAGGAACACCAGUGGCGAAGGCGAGCAUCUGGUCUGUAACUGACGCUGAUGUGCGA
RNAcentral lists this ribosomal RNA (437 nucleotides) under Staphylococcus epidermidis. RNAcentral's name for it is "SSU rRNA". It matches the Rfam family "Bacterial small subunit ribosomal RNA", at positions 327 to 756 of the family's 1533-position model. The record is from RNAcentral. Lineage: Bacteria; Bacillati; Bacillota; Bacilli; Caryophanales; Staphylococcaceae.